UGUAACGAUAAAAUAGGUGAGAAACCUAUUCGCCGUAAGACUAAGGAUUCCGGGAUCUAUGUUAAUCAGAACCGGGUUAGUCGGGGCCUAAGGUGUAGCCGAAGGGCGAAGCCGAUGGGAAACAGGUUAAUAUUCCUGUACAUGUAUCAGCUGUGAUGGGGUGACGAAGGAGCGUAAGGUCCGCCCACUGACGGAAUAGUGGGUUGAAGGGAGAAGGCGUUGAAGAUAUAGGCAAAUCCGUAUCUGAGCUGAGACCUGAUAGUACACAAGUCCUUAGGGAUGUGUGAUAGUGACCGUAAGCAAACUUCCAAGAAAAACCUCUAAACUUCAGGCUGACACAUCCCGUACCGUAAACCGACACAGGUAGUCGAGGAGAGUAUCCUAAGGCGCUCGAGUGAUCCGUGGCUAAGGAACUAGGCAAAAUGGUCUCGUAACUUCGGGAGAAGAGACUCCCCUCGUGAGAGGGGACGCAGUGAAGAGGCCCAGGCGACUGUUUAACAAAAACACAGGACUCUGCAAAAUCGUAAGAUGAAGUAUAGGGUCUGACACCUGCCCGGUGCUGGAAGGUUAAGGAAGGGGGUUAGUGCGUAAGUGCGAAGCUCUUAACUGAAGCCCCAGUAAACGGCGGCCGUAACAAUAACGGUCCUAAGGUAGCGAAAUUCCUUGUCGGGUAAGUUCCGACCUGCACGAAUGGUGUAACGAUCUGGGCGCUGUCUCAGCCACGAGCUCGGUGAAAUUGAAGUAUCGGUGAAGAUGCCGAUUACCCGCAACGGGACGGAAAGACCCCGUGAACCUUUACUACAACUUCACAUUGAGCUUGAAUACAGGAUGUGUAGGAUAGGUGGGAGGCUAUGAAGCUGUGACGCUAGUCAUGGUGGAGCCAACGUUGAAAUACCACCCUUCCUGUAUUUAGGUUCUAAUCCCUAAUAGGGAAACAGUGUGUGGUGGGUAGUUUGACUGGGGUGGUCGCCUCCAAAAGAGUAACGGAGGCUCGCAAAGGUACACUCAGCAUGGUCGGUAAUCAUGCGAAGAGCGUAUUAGUAUAAGUGUGCUUGACUGAGAGACCGACGGGUCGAUCAGGAACGAAAGUUGGCUAAAGUGAUCCGGUGUUUCCGCAUGGAAGGGACAUCGCUCAAAGGAUAAAAGGUACUCCGGGAUAACAGGCUGAUCCUACCCAAGAGCUCAUAUCGACGGUAGGGUUUGGCACCUCGAUGUCGGCUCGUCACAUCCUGGGGCUGGAGAAGGUCCCAAGGGUUGGGCUGUUCGCCCAUUAAAGUGGCACGCGAGCUGGGUUCAGAACGUCGCAAGACAGUUCGGUCCCUAUCUGUUGUGGGCGCAGGAAUAUUGAAGGGGGCUGAUUCUAGUACGAGAGGACCGAAUUGGACGUACCGCUAGUGUACCGGUUGUGGCGCCAGCUGCAUCGCCGGGUAGCUAUGUACGGCACGGAUAAGCGCUGAAAGCAUCUAAGCGCGAAGCCAUCCCUAAGAUGAGUAUUCCAGCACGUAAGUGUAAAGGACCCCAGAAGACUACUGGGUUGAUAGGUUAUAGGUGGAAGUGCAGUAAUGUGCGUAGCCGAGUAAUACUAAUUGUCCGACAGCUUCCUUUG
RNAcentral lists this ribosomal RNA (1606 nucleotides) under metagenome. RNAcentral describes it as "bacterial LSU rRNA". It matches the Rfam family "Bacterial large subunit ribosomal RNA", at positions 1305 to 2925 of the family's 2925-position model. The record is from RNAcentral.